RNAcentral lists this ribosomal RNA (673 nucleotides) under Escherichia coli. Its description in RNAcentral is "partial 23S ribosomal RNA". It matches the Rfam family "Bacterial large subunit ribosomal RNA", at positions 516 to 1191 of the family's 2925-position model. The record is from RNAcentral. Lineage: Bacteria; Pseudomonadati; Pseudomonadota; Gammaproteobacteria; Enterobacterales; Enterobacteriaceae.
GAAAAGAACCCCGGCGAGGGGAGUGAAAAAGAACCUGAAACCGUGUACGUACAAGCAGUGGGAGCCUCUUAAUGGGGUGACUGCGUACCUUUUGUAUAAUGGGUCAGCGACUUAUAUUCUGUAGCAAGGUUAACCGAAUAGGGGAGUCGAAGGGAAACCGAGUCUUAACUGGGCGUUAAGUUGCAGGGUAUAGACCCGAAACCCGGUGAUCUAGCCAUGGGCAGGUUGAAGGUUGGGUAACACUAACUGGAGGACCGAACCGACUAAUGUUGAAAAAUUAGCGGAUGACUUGUGGCUGGGGGUGAAAGGCCAAUCAAACCGGGAGAUAGCUGGUUCUCCCCGAAAGCUAUUUAGGUAGCGCCUCGUGAAUUCAUCUCCGGGGGUAGAGCACUGUUUCGGCAAGGGGGUCAUCCCGACUUACCAACCCGAUGCAAACUGCGAAUACCGGAGAAUGUUAUCACGGGAGACACACGGCGGGUGCUAACGUCCGUCGUGAAGAGGGAAACAACCCAGACCGCCAGCUAAGGUCCCAAAGUCAUGGUUAAGUGGGAAACGAUGUGGGAAGGCCCAGACAGCCAGGAUGUUGGCUUAGAAGCAGCCAUCAUUUAAAGAAAGCGUAAUAGCUCACUGGUCGAGUCGGCCUGCGCGGAAGAUGUAACGGGGCUAAACCAUG